This 497-nucleotide ribosomal RNA is filed under the name uncultured bacterium. Its description in RNAcentral is "partial 16S ribosomal RNA". It matches the Rfam family "Bacterial small subunit ribosomal RNA", at positions 28 to 507 of the family's 1533-position model. The record is from RNAcentral.
GAUGAACGCUGGCGGCGUGCCUAAUACAUGCAAGUCGAGCGAACAGACGAGGAGCUUGCUCCUCUGACGUUAGCGGCGGACGGGUGAGUAACACGUGGAUAACCUACCUAUAAGACUGGGAAAACUUCGGGAAACCGGAGCUAAUACCGGAUAAUAUAUUGAACCGCAUGGUUCAAUAGUGAAAGACGGUUUUGCUGUCACUUCUAGAUGGAUCCGCGCCGCAUUAGCUAGUUGGUAAGGUAACGGCUUACCAAGGCAACGAUGCGUAGCCGACCUGAGAGGGGGAUCGGCCACCCUGGAACUGAGACACGGUCCAGACUCCUACGGGAGGCAGCAGUAGGGAAUCUGCCGCAAUGGGCGAAAGCCUGACGGAGCAACGCCGCGUGAGUGAUGAAGGUCUUCGGAUCGUAAAACUCUGUUAUUAGGGAAGAACAAAUGUGUAAGUAACUAUGCACGUCUUGACGGUACCUAAUCAGAAAGCCACGGCUAACUACGUG